Molecule: long non-coding RNA, 2613 nt
Organism: Chelonia mydas (Green sea turtle)
Lineage: Eukaryota; Metazoa; Chordata; Testudines; Cheloniidae
Exons: 3
Source: RefSeq, a predicted model, not a curated record
CCUUUCUUCUUCCUUUGGCCCUUCUCUGGGCUCUCAGAGUGUGACAUGAAGAGGAGCCUCCUCCCCCCGUGUCUUCUAGGCCCUGGGGUGUGUGACAGCCUCCCAGAUGGCUGCAGUCAGAAGCUGAGCCACCUCAGGGAGCAGUGGGGGCAGGUCCCUUGUCCUAGGAAACCAAGAAGUGGUAGUUCUCAAAGAGGCUGAGAGGGAAGACCCCGCUCCCUCAUGGAGGUAAGAGCCAUUGACUACUUUGGGCAUAUGGGUUUCUUGGGGGAGAAAUGGGGUCCCUGCUGCAUAGCCUGGCUGGGAGCUUCCCCCAUCCCUGGGACAGAGACACCUCCAUCAAUGUGCCACCCUUGUUUUUUUCCUAGCAAGAGGCUCCCCAGAGAUCUCCUCAAACCUGUUCUCCUGGGAGCCUUUCUGGGAGGAGGCUCCUGUCCCCCAGUCUCCAACUCCAUCAUGCAGUCUCAUUCACAUAACAUCUCCGCUCUCCAGCUCCCCUUCCUGCAGCAGGACAAACGGACCUUCAGCUCCUAGAGAACAGACUCUGACCUCCUUCUGAUCAGCAAUGGGGUUUCACCAUCCCCUCAACAAAUCUGUCAGCCGGGCUGGACCGGAUUUGAAGGAGGAGGCUAUCUAACAGGGUGGCUUGGCCUGUGGCUGCCAAGCCUGGGGCUAGGCCAAAUUGAUGACCAUGUGAGCCCCACCUGAGAGGAAAGAAGGGAAAACAGCAGCAAAAGUACAGAAGCAGAGCGAGCUGUUCAGUAGAUGGCCUUGGGCCAAAACCUGGAGUCCAAGAUUGGACUGGGUUCUCUCACCGUCCCUAAGGAAGGGGACAUAGAAGACCAUGGAAACCCAAGAAGGGCAGGCCGAGCCGAAAUCAGGCUGAGGAAGAACUCCCCACGAGGGUGGAAGGCCUUGUUUCUGUUCAAGACAUUUUUGGACUUUGUUUGCAAGGAGCACGACCCAGGAAGGAGUGGACUAAAGGACAGUCACCUGGUUGGAGGGCUGAGUUCCCAGCCAACAAACUGCAAGAGUGAGUAUCAGCGGGGUUGCUAGCCCAGCAAGAAAGCGGUGACACGAGGCCUGGCCAGCAUCUAGCGGGUAGAAAACUUCUCUGUCGAAUCCGCUGAUUUGAUUGCUUCGUCUUCUGGUUUCAGACCCUCUGUUCUCCUUCUGGGCUGCCUGGACCCUGACUGUAACAUCUCUCUGGCCCAGCCUCUUACCCAGAUGUGUGCUGCAGCCAGCCCAGCGCAGGGAGCAGUGGGGACAGAUCAUCUCAUCCUGUCAGACCAAGCAACAGGGGUCCCAUUGAGGCUUAGAUGGAAGAUCCCAGGCAUCUCCUGGAGUGGAUGCGUCUGGGACCCUGGAGACUGUUUCGUGCAGGAGGUUUGAGCGGGGAGAGAUCACUCACUGUCAUGACCCAUGGGUCAUUAACCCAGGUCUACAGGGUUCCUAGGAGCAGCCACCCUCCAGCACGCCACCUGGAAGCCUACGAAAAACUGCUUACCUAGGACUGAUGAAGUCCAGACCCAGUUUGAGGCUCCAUCCCUGAGGCCCAUUGGCAGAGUCGCAGAGCAGCUAAUCUCCCCCGGGACCUCCUUAAACCAGCAGCAGGAACAAGGAGCUGUCUGAACACCCGAGCUCCUCCCCGCCCCCUCUGGACCGUGUGUUGGCUGUUCCUGCUCCCACUCCCCAGGCUUGAUUUCCUGGCAUGCGGACUCGGGGUGACUCAUCUGACUUGAGGUGCUGAACACAAUUUGGUCUUUUGCUUCUGCUCUUCCAGUGUCCUGACCCAGCUGACUCUCGACUCCUGUCUUGUGAGUGUGGACUCUGCCUCUGACCACUAGGUCUGGUGCUCAUGACCUGCCAUGACACUGACUUUUCUACAGUUCCUCCAGUGCCCUUUUCUGCUCUCCAGCUCUGCCCUCCCAGCAAGACACACCGAUGCCUUGGCUCCCAGAGUCCUGCUUGCCUGCUAGUCAAGGGCUCAGGGGGAGAGCUUAUCUUGCCCCCUCCCCCACCAUGGCUGCUUUUCCUUGGGGACUCUCCCUAGCGCAGAGGAGAAUCUGUCCUGGCAGCAAUUCAGGAAGUCUCAGAAGGGACGGUCUGCUCAGCUCCCUCUGCAAUGCCACUGCCCGAGACCAUUACGAGUGGGUGCCCAGUGACUGCGCCGGCAGCUCCUUGAGAGACUCUUGGGGCAGGGUAGACGUGUUUCCCGGUGACCGCGGGAAGCCAUGCAAAGGGUGCAGCAUUGAGGAGACUCUCCUGCUGUUCCAAAGCGUUUCUGUUCUCCUGCACGGUCAGACCGUGGGGCCGGCUGGCAGAAUGGGGAAGAGCUGGUUGAUGAUUAGUCGGAGGAUUCACCAUAGAGGCAGCAACAGCUGCAGAUCCUGGAGUCCCUGUGGCAGGGUUACCAUGCGUCCGGAUUUUCCCGGACAUGUCCGGCUUUUGGGGUUUUCAAUCGCCCUCCGGGAGGAAUUUGUAAAACUCUCCAAAGGGCCGGGAUUUCCCUCCCAAUGCAGCAAUCUGGGGGCGGGGCGGGGGGGAGCUGCGCGCUCUGUGGGGGAGCACGGCACUGUGUCUGGCUCCGCACCCCAGACACACUGCUCUGAG